GGGAGCCUGGAGGGAGGUGGGGAGUUAACGACUGCCUGCCUCCUCCCUGACCCCGCCUGCCUCUCAGCUCUAACAUGCCUGUGAUUUCAUCAUGCACACCUUUGUCAACAAUCCAUUUAGCAACCAAAUUAUACACCGGGUAAUUAUAGCUUCCAGCCUCAUGUCAGGAGUCCCCUGCUCAACAGCGUGCUCCUGGUGAUACUGCCACCCGUAACGGGUACUGGCUUUGCUAACAUCCUGACGAGACGUCGGGGAGAGACGGGAAGUGGCAGUUUCUUCCUUAGUACUCCAAGUGGACUAACAAAGACUUCCCCAAAAUGUAAGUAAUUUUUAUAAAUAUGAUUAACUCAAACUUAUAAAUAUAAUGACUCAUAAAUUAUCUUAGACAUUCCAAUGUUGUUUACUGCUUUCUUUUAUAAUUUUCACCUUAAAAAUCUUAAGUCAAAAUCAAUCUCUCGAUUAUAUAUCAAAUCGAAAUUGCAAGGCUAAUCUGUCAGCUGCUCCAACAUACCAAUUUCUCUCUCUCUCUUUUUUUUUUGAGACAGAGUCUCGUUGCUCUGUUGCCCAGGCUGGAGUGCAGUGGUGCAAUCUCAGCUCACUACAACCUCCACCUCCAGGGUUCCAAUGAUUCCCCUGCCUCAGCCUCCCAAGUAGCUGGGAUUACAGGUGUGCACCACCAUGUCCAACUAAUUUUUUUUGUAUUUUUAGUACAGAUGGGGUUUCUUCAUGUUGGCCAGGCUGGUCUUGAACUCCUGACCUUAAACGAUCCCUACCUUGACCUCCUAAAGUGCUGGGAUUACAGAUGUGAGCCACCAUACCUGGCCCCAAUAUACCAAUUGCUCUUAAACAUGAUGAGUAGUAUAAAUGACAUUAUUCCUGCACUCAUAUAUAAAGAGAUGGGUUUGAUUUCCUUCACCAUCUCAAUCCCUAAUUUUAGCUUUUUGGAUUUGUGAAUCACUUACCUUCUAAGGAGAUAGCUGUCUGCAGCAAGCUGGGGUUUCCAUCUUGGGAGAGUGAAGUUAGGCAUUCUUUAGAGAUUUUUGGCCAGAAAAUAGGAUUUGAUUCAUGCCCAAGAUGGUGUGACACCAUGAACCAUAAUUGGAACUCUGAGUUCUGCAACAGAUUCACCUAAUUCUUCCUUCUGAUUGCAACUUUUACCUCCUCCCUCUCUGGGUGUGGACAAAUCCAUUCAUUGAUUGGCUGAUUUUACAUUGCUUUGAAAGAUGUUUGCAUUUCUUUGGCUCUUUUAAGACAUUUUAAUGUAUUCCUGUCUGACUUUAAAGAACCUUUAAGACUAUUAGCCUUUCGGUCAUGCCUUUAUGAUUCUUUUGUAACUUCAUAACUUUAUUGCCUGAUUUGGCAAAAGAAUGCUGGGUUCUUUUCAUAUUUUCCCAUCUUGCAGGUGUGUGACUUCUACAACUACUUAAAAAGCAUCCAGCCAGGCACAGUGGCUCAUGUCUGUAAUCCCAGCACUUCAGGAGGCCAAGGUGGGCGGAUCACGAGGUCAGGAGUUCGAGACCAGUCUGGCCAACAUGGUGAAACCCUGUCUCUACUAAUAAUACAAAAAUUAGCCAGGCGUGGUGGCGUGCGCCUGUAGUCCCACCUACUUGGGAGGAUGAGGCAGGAGAAUUGCUUAAACCGGGGAGGUGGAGGUUGCAGUGAACCGAGAUUGCACCACUGCACUCCAGCCUGGGUGAUGAAGCAAGACUCCGUCUCAAGGAAAAAAAAAAAGCAUCUAGUUGGAUGCUUAGUAUCUCUUAUGUUUUUGACUUUAUGAUCAUGUUGGAAAAGAAAAUAUUUCUUUUCCUCACCCAUCCUUAGGCUUAUGUCUGAGAUGCCUAUAACAAGAGAAAAGCAUACAAAUUUAUUGAAUAUAAAUUUUGCAUAACACGGGAGACUUUUCGAAAUGAACACUCAAAGAAAUAGGUAAACCUGUGUAUUUUUUUAUGAUAGGUUUGACGAAGAAGUGGACAGUUGUGGAGAAGUGUGACUGGAUUAAAAAUGAUGAUUUAAUGGUAAUGAAUGGGGAGGAGUGUAGCAAAACCUGUCUGUUAGAUUCUUCUCUGUGACCAUGUGUCUUCAGAGAUAAGGGUGUUCCUUUCCUCUGGGUAGAGAAAGGACACCUCUCAAAUGAGGGUCUUAAGAUCCGCUUCAGGGGAAAAUGAUGGGAGAAAGUCAGAGAAUGACCUUCCUAGGUUUUAUGACCUGCUUCGGGAAAGAAAAAAUGGAGAGAAGAGGGUGGCCUUCUUGCCUCUGCUCUUUUCUCAAAUGCCAAGUAGUGUUAAAAGCAUUUAGGGAGGGUCUCCAAGGAUUAUAGAAAUUUAAUCAACUUGAGCAAUCAGCCUGUUUUAGAGCCUCCUGCCCUGAAGCCUAUUCUUCCCCAAACCCUCUGUGGAAUGAGGUCGUCUUGGUGGUUUCAACCAGCUCCUGACAGAUCCCAGCAACUUACAGAUGAAAGCAAGUGACCUUUCCUCAUUACUGUGAUGAAGUCUCCACCCCUGAGGAGCUAGAGUUUCAUCACCAUGAUGUGCGACCUAUGCACCGGCAUGAUGACUCACUACACGCACCACUGAGACCCCUCUUCUACAUGUGAUGAUGCACCCUCUCCCCUCUCCAUCACUCCAUAAAACCCUCCCAUCACUUUCCCUAGGGGAGAGACUGCUUUGAAGAAUGCUCCCAGUGUCCUCCUUACUUGAGCCAAGUAAUAAACCUCCUAUUAAUAAAAACCUGUGCUCUCAUGGAGAGUAGUUUACUACUUGCUAGGUGAC
RNAcentral lists this long non-coding RNA (2768 nucleotides) under Homo sapiens (human). Its description in RNAcentral is "HSALNT0372408". Lineage: Eukaryota; Metazoa; Chordata; Mammalia; Primates; Hominidae. The record is from RNAcentral.